Molecule: long non-coding RNA, 77 nt
Filed under: Anopheles farauti
Lineage: Eukaryota; Metazoa; Arthropoda; Insecta; Diptera; Culicidae
Description: sphinx_ conserved region 1
Rfam family: Sphinx_ conserved region 1
Source: RNAcentral
GAUUCGGCGACUAUCCCGCGGAAUAUAAUCCGAAAGUUCACGGACCGUACGAUCCUGCUCGGUACUACGGUAAACCC